This 117-nucleotide non-coding RNA is filed under the name Homo sapiens (human). The record is from Rfam by way of RNAcentral. Lineage: Eukaryota; Metazoa; Chordata; Mammalia; Primates; Hominidae.
GCUGGGCAUGGUGGCUCAUGCUUGUAAUCCCAGCUCUUUGGGAGGCUGAGGUGAGAGGAUUGUUUGAGUCCAGGAGUUCAACACCAGCCUGGGCAACAUAGCAAGACCUCAUCUCUA